AACAGCGCUCCCAGAUCCUAGAUCAGUGACACAGACAAACGAACACCUCAAACAGUAGCUCCGCCCACAUCUGACUGGAUCGGUGGACAACAAUACUGGAGAGAAACCUGGGGUGUGUUCCAGAAAGCGGGUUAUGUGACAUACCCAGAGUUUCCAAACGUGAUUGGGUGCAUCGAUAGCACCCACAUUCCUAUUAAAGCUCCUUCAGUCAAUGAGGGAGACUAUGUUAAGAGGAAGUCAUUUCACAGUAUCAUUGUACAGGUAUAAUUUGAUGCAACCCAUCUCAUCACUAAUGUUGAAGCCAAAUGAUCAGGGUCAGUGCAUGAUUCUAGAAUCUUCAGGGAAUCAUCACUAUGUCUAUUCAGUAUGUUUCAACAGGGACACUACAGUAGCUACUUGCUGGGGGACAGAGGGUUCCCUUGUCUGCCCUAUUUAAUGACACCCUACCCUGAACCUGAGCCAGGACCACAGACGCGGUUCAACCGGGCCACAGCAGAAGACGGCCAAGGUGGAGACGACCACAGGCAUCCUAAAGGCGAGGUUCCAGUGUCUACGUGGCCUCAGGGUCAGUUCAGAGAGGGCAUGUGACAAUAUAGUGGAUUGUGUUGUCCUUCACAACAUUGCCACAAUACGAGCCGAGCAACCCUCCUUGUCCUGCUGAAGAUGAGCAAGAGGAUCCAGUAGUGAACCAAGUAGACCACAGAGAUGGAAGACUCUUAAGACACAUGAUUUGUCAGAAUCACUUUUAUUAAGAUUUCUGCACCAAAGCACUCAUCAUUUCUUCAUGUCCUGAAAAAUAAAAUGGAAUAUUAUUUACAUUGCUUCACACAAAGUCCCAGACUGUGUGCUUUCUGGAGGGUCCAAUAAUAAAGGCUCCAGAAGGAUUACACCUUUUAAACAAGAAUAUUACUAUUACCUAAUAUUAUUCAAAUCUCAUGGAAUUAAUAGUACAAAACCAUGUAGAAGUUAUGUUCAAUUUUCCUUUACAAUAAAAGAGGAGAGGGCAACAUAACGGUAAUUAAAUAAACUCAAUUUACUUUUUUUUAUUCUUUUUUUUCCUUCGCCGAUGCAGCUGUGUUGCUUUUUCUAUUAAUAAUCGGCUUAAACUUUUCAUUCUCUGCAUUAAAACCUCCAACUCCGCUGUUGAAAUACGCUGCCAUUAUAGUGUCGCUUUUUUCCAUGGUGACUCGUGAAUUUGGUGAUCUAUUGACAAUGUCUUUAUAUAUACACCGUGCAUGUGCGUUAACUCUGGGUUACCGACAGGAGGUAGAUUAACCUAACUCUUAUCAGGUAUUUUGGAACCGACAUAGUCAGGGUAAGCAGGUUCUGGGUUAAUCAACCCAGAGUUCAGGGUUUAGCAGAAGGUUAAUCAACCCUGCUUUCUGGAACACACCCCUGAAGUUUAAGCCAUCAUGGUCGUCAGCUCCGACUCGGAACUUGAACGGGCUGUAACGGCAGGUGUGUGGGCUGAGGCUCCGCUUCAAACUGCUGUUCCGUCGUAAACACCAUUAAUGAGGAGCUAAGUAUGUUUGAAUAGAAUAUCUCUGUGGCACCGGUGGAGAAUUAGUUAGCUAAUUUUACUAGCUAGCCAAAGUUACUUCCACGCUAUAAACGAAGGUUUCCAGGGGUGCACAUUGAUACUGUGAAAUGACUUCCUAUUAACAUAGUCUCCCUCAUUGACUGAAGGAGCUUUAAUAGGAAUGUGGGUGCUAUCGAUGCAUCCAAUCAUGUUUGGAAACUCUGAAAUGGAAAGUAAUAAAGUAAUACGGAAAAUGUGCGUCUGUGCAGUACGUCCAAGGUGUCCGUAUUAAAAUAUGUGCCAUAGAUUAUCAUAGAAAGGACAAACCUGCCGCUCAAAAAUGUCCUGAUGCAAAAAACGAAG
This is a long non-coding RNA of Betta splendens (Siamese fighting fish), 1882 nucleotides long. RefSeq lists it as uncharacterized. The transcript is spliced from 4 exons. NCBI's taxonomy places the organism in Eukaryota, Metazoa, Chordata, Actinopteri, Anabantiformes, Osphronemidae. The record is from RefSeq and is a predicted model, not a curated record.